GACGAACGCUGGCGGCGUGCUUAACACAUGCAAGUCGAACGGAAAGGCCCUGCUUUUGUGGGGUGCUCGAGUGGCGAACGGGUGAGUAACACGUGAGUAACCUGCCCUUGACUUUGGGAUAACUUCAGGAAACUGGGGCUAAUACCGGAUAGGAGCUCCUGCUGCAUGGUGGGGGUUGGAAAGUUUCGGCGGUUGGGGAUGGACUCGCGGCUUAUCAGCUUGUUGGUGGGGUAGUGGCUUACCAAGGCUUUGACGGGUAGCCGGCCUGAGAGGGUGACCGGCCACAGUGGGACUGAGAUACGGCCCAGACUCCUACGGGGGGCAGCAGUGGGAUAUAUUGCACAAUGGGCGGAAGCCUGAUGCAGCAACGCCGCGUGCGGGGUGACGGCCUUCGGGUUGUAAACCGCUUUCGCCUGUGACGAAGCGUGAGUGACGGUAAUGGGUAAAGAAGCACCGGCUAACUACGUG
This 468-nucleotide ribosomal RNA is filed under the name uncultured bacterium. RNAcentral's name for it is "partial 16S ribosomal RNA". It matches the Rfam family "Bacterial small subunit ribosomal RNA", at positions 28 to 507 of the family's 1533-position model. The record is from RNAcentral.